Molecule: ribosomal RNA, 467 nt
Filed under: uncultured bacterium
Lineage: Bacteria
Description: partial 16S ribosomal RNA
Rfam family: Bacterial small subunit ribosomal RNA
Source: RNAcentral
GACGAACGCUGGCGGCGUGCUUAACACGUGCGAGUCGAACGGAAAGGCCCUGCUUUUGUGGGGUGCUCGAGUGGCGAACGGGUGAGUAACACGUGAGUAACCUGCCCUUGACUUUGGGAUAACUUCAGGAAACUGGGGCUAAUACCGGAUAGGAGCUCCUGCUGCAUGGUGGGGGUUGGAAAGUUUCGGCGGUUGGGGAUGGACUCGCGGCUUAUCAGCUUGUUGGUGGGGUAGUGGCUUACCAAGGCUUUGACGGGUAGCCGGCCUGAGAGGGUGACCGGCCACAUUGGGACUGAGAUACGGCCCAGACUCCUACGGGAGGCAGCAGUGGGGAAUAUUGCACAAUGGGCGGAAGCCUGAUGCAGCAACGCCGCGUGCGGGAUGACGGCCUUCGGGUGGUAAACCGCUUUCGCCUGUGACGAAGCGUGAGUGACGGUAAUGGGUAAAGAAGCACCGGCUAACUACGU